This 257-nucleotide ribosomal RNA is filed under the name uncultured bacterium. RNAcentral's name for it is "partial 16S ribosomal RNA". It matches the Rfam family "Bacterial small subunit ribosomal RNA", at positions 99 to 354 of the family's 1533-position model. The record is from RNAcentral.
CGGACGGGUGAGUAACGCGUGGAAAACCUGCCGUAUACUGGGGGAGUAACACUUAGAAAUAGGUGCUAAUACCGCAUAAGCGCACAGCUUCGCAUGAAGCGGUGUGAAAAACUACUGGUGGUAUACGAUGGUUCCGCGUCUGAUUAGCUAGUUGGUGGGGUAAUGGCCUACCAAGGCAACGAUCAGUAGCCGGCCUGAGAGGGUGAACGGCCACAUUGGGACUGAGACACGGCCCAAACUCCUACGGGAGGCAGCAG